Molecule: transfer RNA, 129 nt
Filed under: Candidatus Bathyarchaeota archaeon
Lineage: Archaea; Thermoproteati; Candidatus Bathyarchaeota
Description: tRNA-OTHER
Rfam family: tRNA
About the family: Transfer RNA (tRNA) molecules are approximately 80 nucleotides in length. Their secondary structure includes four short double-helical elements and three loops (D, anti-codon, and T loops).
Source: RNAcentral
GCCGGGGUGGCUGAGCGGUUAAAGCGCUGGCCAGCUCGUAAGCCCGGACUCGAGGCCUUUCAUUAGAGAGGCUAGGUAGCCAGUGGCCCCUUACGGGCCUCGUGGGUUCAAAUCCCACCCCCGGCGCCA